Molecule: long non-coding RNA, 5174 nt
Organism: Hyla sarda
Lineage: Eukaryota; Metazoa; Chordata; Amphibia; Anura; Hylidae
Exons: 5
Source: RefSeq, a predicted model, not a curated record
CGUCGUUCCAUGCCAAUUCAGAAGCAAGGAUACGAAACUGGACUGCAUAGUCUCCCACAGAGGAAGUCCCUUGACUCAGGUUAAGAAGCGCAGACUCGGCAGAGGAAACACGUGUGGGUUCUUCAAAAACGCUGCGGAAUUCAGCGAGAAAAGCCGUGAGGUUGAAGGUAAUUGGAUCGCUACGAUCCCAGAGCGGAGUAGCCCAGGCCAGGGCCUUCCCAGACAAGAGAAUGAUCACAAAGGCCACCAUAGCAUGCUCCGUAGGAAACUGAUCCGCCAUGAGCUCCAGGUGCAAGGAGCACUGCAUCACAAAGCCUCUACAUUGCUUAGAAUCUCCGUUAAACUUCGUGAGAAGGGGAAGACGAAGCUUUGAAGCUGAAGGAACCUGUGGAGACUGCUGAUGCAUAGACAGAAGUAACUGCGCCAUGGUGGACAGUUGAUUUAAUUGCUGCGACUGGUGGGCCAACUGCUGCGACUGACGGACCACUUUGGAGGAGAGAUCCGACUCCUCAGGCAGGGGUACCUGAGCGGGAUCCAUGGCCGGAUCAUACUGUAAGACUCACCGCAGACGGCAGGUACCCAGGGAGUAGAUGACCCGUAAUACCACGGUAGUCUGGAGCAGGUGAAGUAGUAGAUCCGCUGGACCUGUGUGGCAGAUGACGUGGGCCUUGCCAGUGAGCGGAGUCUAAGGUGCUGCUGGUUUUCACAAGAGCCCGCCGCAAGGUGCUACUCCUGGCAAGACUCGACCACACAGGAGGCUGAGGUGAAGCGUGGUACCAAAGGAAUAGGCAAGACGUAGUCGGGCAGGCUAGAGGUCAGGGCAGGCAGCACAAGAGUGUAGUCAGUAGGGUAGCAGAAGGUCAAUAGGCUGGCGGCUAGAAACACGGUCGGGUCAUGGAAUACGGAGGUCUGGAACAUGGCAAGGAAAUAACUAGAAGUGCUUUCUCUAAGGUGCAGGGCAAACAAAGAUCCGGCAGGGGUGCUAAGGAGGAGCUAGAACUUAUAAAAAAAAGGUGCAGGUGCAAUUACUAAUUGCAGACGCACUGGCCCUUUAAAUUUCACAGCUAGAAGGUGGGGGCGCGCAUGUUGGAGCUGAGGUACAGAGGCCGGGGACGGAGGUGAGUGACGGGCCGGGACUCGCAUGCGGGGGAAGAUGCGCUCACGGACGGAAUGUCCGGCCGGAGCGCCGCUUGUGACAUGAUCUAUUGGAUGAGAUCAGGUGACUGUGGAGGUGAUCUAUAGGAUUAGAUCUGGUGACUGUGGAGGUGAUGUAUAAUAUGAGAUCUGGUGAAUGUAAAGGUGAUCUGUAGGAUGAGAUCUGGUGAAUGUGGAGGUGAUGUAUAAUAGGAGAUCUGAUGACUGUGGAGGUGAUCUGUAGGAUGAGAUGUGGUGAAUGUAAAGGGGAUCUGUAGAAUGAGAUUUGGUGACACUGGAGGUGAUCUGUAGGAUGAGAUCUGGUGACUGUGGAGCCCAUUGGAAUCCAGUGACCUCAUUGUCCUGUAUGAGAUGAGGUCAUGUGACAUGGGGCAUUAUCCUGCUGGAGUAUCAGAAGAUGUGUCCACUGUGGUCAUGAAAGGAUGGACAUGGUCAGUAACAAUACUCAGGUACAAUACUCAGGCUGUGAUGUUUAUAUCAGACUCAAUUGUUACUAAGGGGCCCAAAGUGUGCCCAGAAAAUGUCCCCCACAUCAUAACUCUUCCUCCAAUGGCCUGACCCGCUGAUACAAGGCCGGAGGGAUCCAUAAUUUAUGUGGUUUACCCCAAAUUCUGCCCCAUCUGAUGUCACAGCUGGAAUGGAGACUCCUCAGACCAGGGAAUGUUCUUCCAUCUUAAAGUCUCCAGUUCUGGUUCCUGUGUGAAUUGUUCUUAGCUGACAGUAGUGGCUCCUAGUGUGGUCUUAGCUGACAGGAGUGGCACCCGGUGUGGUCUUAGCUGACAGGAGUGGCACCAGGUGUGGUCUUAGCUGACAGGAGUGGUCCCCGGUGUGGUCUUAGCUGACAGUAGUGGCCCCCGGUGUGGUCUUCUGCUGCUGUAGCCCAUCUGGUUGGAUGUGUUGUGCGUUCAGAUUAUAUUCUGCAGACCUUGGUGUCACCAGUGGUUAUUGAUGUUACUGUGGCCUUUCUGUCAUCUCAAACCAGUCUGCCCAUUCUUUUCUGACACAAGACAUUUCCUCUACACAGUGGCAGCUCAUGGGAUAUUUCCUCUUUUUUUAAACCGUUCUCUGUAAACCCCUGAGAUGGUUGUGGUGAUGAUCCCAGGAGAUCAGCAGAUUGUGAAAUCCUAAGACCGGCCCGUCUGGUACCAACAACCAGGACACGUUUACCGUCCCUUACAUCUUCUUUCUUCCCUAUUCUGAUGAUCCGUUGUCUUGACCACAUCUACAUGCCUAAAUGCAUUAAGGCUCUACCGUGUGAUUGGCUGAUCAGCUAUUUGUGUUAACAAGCAAUUGAACUGGUACCUAAUAAAGUAGCCAGUGAGGGUAUGUUAGAAGCGGGAAGAAAGGAAAGGAGGGAGAUAAUGGCUUUAUAUUGUAUCCCCUGAAGAACACGUGGUGUUUAUUAAGCAACUAUUUUCAUCAGACAAAGUUCAAGUCAACAACAAGGAUUUCUGGUGACCCCUGAGGAGCAGCUCAUGUUCGUGUUGGUGCACAGAGGAUAUAAGAUGCCUGAGAUACCAGCGUGAAGUCUUCUGCCCUGAGGCUGUGGAAUUGUAUGCAGACCAUCCUAUCACAUACAUGAGAGCGAGAGGCGUGCCACAGGGCGAGCAUGGACAGGUGAGGGGAGAAGAUAGGGACGGGGCGGGUGCAGCCAGGAUUAGGGAAGCAGAAAGGUGUGUCAGAGGAAGGGAGAGACGUCACCUGAGAGCCAGGGAAAGCUGUGUGGGAAGAACAGAGUCAGGACAUAGAAGCCAUAAUGUGUGGUGAGGAUACACAGGGGGACAGAUAUCAUAACUGAGGCCAGAGAGUGGGAGAAGCCAUACACAGAGGGCCAAGCCCCAUGAGGACAUAAUACGUCUACAACUGGACAGAAGACCAGAGAUAUAGCAAGAAAAGGACAAAGGAACCGCAAAGGAGGAUUCUAAGGCCGAAACUAUCAGGAAAACCCUCAGGUAGCCUCAGGCUUCACAUCUGGAGACUUCUCAAGGUGCGGAGGAAAUGUGGUCAGAGAUGGGUCCUGACUUAUUGAAGAGGAGGAGGACAUCUUAUAGUUAUAAGGUGUAGACAAGACGUCAGAUCUGCUCUGUAUGGUCACACGGUGCCCCUGACCUCCAAACAUGGCCGCACAUUCACAGGGUUUAUUUUCACAGGAGUCAGAGGAUGAGGAGAUCUGGGAGAAGCCUGUGAGUGACUGGUCCAUCCAAGAUGUCUGCUCCUGGCUCCAGUACGGGCCCCUACAGAACGCGGCUGGCCUGGUUCAAGCAGCUUAUUCCCAUCACAUCACAGGGCGGGCUCUGCUAAGGUUGACAGACAAUUUGCUGCAGAGGAUGGGAAUCCAACAGGAGAGUUUACGUCAAUCCAUUCUUGUAGAAGUCUUAGAGCUGAAACUACAGCAGGAAAUCCAGCAGCUUCUGCUCAUCACGGAGUGUGCGACUGAGCAGGAGUGUCUGUGAGGAAGACCGGGAUGAAGCUGUGGAUAUGUAAGGAGCUGCAGACAGUGUCAGCCAUGCUGGAUGCUUGAGCUAUGUGCUCCCUGGUGCCAGAGUCAACUUAAUUUUACGUUGUGGUCCUUGUAGGAGCUGGGGCCCCUGACCGAGAGCGCUAUAGAACCAUGCAACAACUGGUACCAGUCUAUUCUACAACCUAGGAAGACCAUGGACUGUUCUUCUGUAACCUAGGAGGACCAUACUGUACCAGGUGCUGGACUGUUCUCCUGUAACCUAGGAGGACCAUGCUGUACCAGGUCCUGGACUGUUCUCCUGUAACCUAGGAGGACCAUACUGUACCAGGUGCUGGACUGUUCUCCUGUAACCUAGGAGGACCAUACUGUACCAGGUCCUGGACUGUUCUCCUGUAACCUAGAAGGACCAUACUGUACCAGGUGCUGGACUGUUCUCCUGUAACCUAGAAGGACCAUGCUGAACCAGGUGCUGGACUGUUCUCCCGUAACCAUGAAGGACCAUGCUGAACCAGGUGCUGGACUGUUCUACUUUAACCUAUAAGGACCAUACUUUACCAGGUGCUGGACGGUUCUCUGUCAUAUAACCUAUAAGGACCAUACUUUACCAGGUGCUGGACUGUUUUCUGUCCUAUAACCUGUAAGGACCAUACUUUACCAGGUGCUGGACUGUUCUCUGUCAUAUAACCUAUAAGGACCAUACUUUACCAGGUAAUGGACUGUUCUCUGUCAUAUAACCUAGGAGGACCAUACUUUACCAGGUGAUGGACUGUUCUCUGUCAUAUAACCUAUAAGGACCAUACAUUACCAGGUGCUGGACUGUUCUCUGUCAUAUAACCUAUAAGGACCAUACUUUACCAAGUGCUGGACUGUUCUGUCAUAUAACCUAGGAGGACCAUACUUUACCUGGUGCUGGACUGUUCUCUGCCAUAUAACCUAGGAGGACCAUACAUUACCUGGUGCUGGACUGUUCUCUGUCAUAUAACCUAUAAGGACCAUACUUUACCUGGUGCUGGACUGUUCUCUGUCAUAUAACCUAUAAGGACCAUACUUUACCAAGUGCUGGACUGUUCUCUGCCAUAUAACCUAUAAGGACCAUACAUUACCAGGUGCUGGACUGUUCUCUGUCAUAUAACCUAGGAGGACCAUACUUUACCUGGUGCUGGACGGUUCUCUGUCAUAUAACCUAUAAGGACCAUACUUUACCUGGUGCUGGACUGUUCUCUGUCAUAUAACCUAGGAGGACCAUACUUUACCUGGUGCUGGACUGUUCUCCAUCAUAUAACCUAUAAGGACCAUACUUUACCAAGUGCUGGACUGUUCUCUGCCAUAUAACCUAGGAGGACCAUACUUUUCCUGGUGCUGGACUGUUCUCCAUCAUAUAACCUAGGAGGACCAUACUUUACCUGGUGCUGGACUGUUCUCUGUCAUAUAACCUAGGAGGACCAUACAUUACCUGGUGCUGGACUGUUCUCUGUCAUAUAACCUAUAAGGACCAUACUUUACCUGGUGCUGGACUGUUCUCCAUCAUAUAACCUAGGAGGACCAUACAUUACCUGGU